This is a long non-coding RNA of Bombus pascuorum, 1755 nucleotides long. RefSeq lists it as uncharacterized. The transcript is spliced from 3 exons. The record is from RefSeq and is a predicted model, not a curated record. Lineage: Eukaryota; Metazoa; Arthropoda; Insecta; Hymenoptera; Apidae.
GCCAUAGUCUAGAUAAAUAGCGAGAAUUAAGAAUAUAUUGAGAUCUCGAUAAAAUUUAUAAAUUUUGGAUGAAAGAGGAACUUCACGAGUAGAUUUUUUUAGUAAUAUAGAUUCAAUAUUAAUUGACAGAAGUCUACGUUAUCGACUGUUGCAUGUCAACAAUGGAUAACCAAUUCGGCUAUAGAUGUGAAAAAAUUUAAGGGGCCAUUCUUAAAGUUAAAAUAAAAUAAAAAUCAAGAAUAAAAAAAUUGCGCUUUCGACUUUCUGUUUUAGUUAUUGACAAUUAAACAUUAACCGAAAUAUCCCCGUGAGCGAGUAAACCUUCUUACACGAACGAAAGUGGAUCAGCUUAAGCAGCAAGGUGUACAGGAUCCUCAAAUUGAACGCUACAUGGGCAGCAGGUUAUCUCGUACAAGUUUUUUUACACCUGUAGCCAAAAACUCUAAGAGGCACAAUACUUUAACUACGAGAAUAUAAGAAUACUGAAAUACUGCAUACUGAACGAUUUAAAAAAUCUCAUGCAAAUAAGCGGAAUACUUCGUUACCUGGCUCUCUUGUCUCUAGAUAGUAACCUGUGGCCUGUUUCGCUAAGUUCCAGCCAAUCUACACGGACAUCAUGAGAAACCAUUGUAACAGUAAGCCCAGUUACCAGGUCCAUGAUGCGAACAGUUUUUGGAUCCAACAAAUAAGCGAGUCUUUUAUUAUCCGGUGCUUCAGCAGUCUGUCUCUCAUUGAUCCUCACACUAACUACAUGAGGAUUUACUGCUUCUGUUCUUACUGAGCCCAAUGCCUCAUUGUUCCCAUACUCAACUAUGGAAAUUUCACUGAUAAGAUUUAGUUCAAUGUCAGCUAGAAGUAGAGUGUUAGCUGUGCGAGCUAUCACAUUAUUGUCAGCUCGUCCUAGGACUUUGACAUCCUCUAUUUCAUAGCCUGUUUGGGAUCUAAUAAUUACUGGCCGAUUGCCCUCUUGUAAUGGACGAAUCACUACUUGGUUGGGUCCAACGUAGGCCACUUCGUGACUUCCUCUGAUUACUGUUCUCUUCAGGACUGUUUCGAAUUGCUCUACUGCACCGCAGAGGCUGCCUACAAGUAACCUGGAAAGUUAAUAAUAUAUAAUUUUUAUCUUUUUUAUUCUGUAUAUACAUAUAUUCUUUGCUUUUUAUUUUCAAAUAGUUUUCUAACUUUUUCUUCUUUAUUUUUUAUUUUCUAAAUUCCCUCAUAUCUUCUAUCAUUUCAGGGUUAUAAUUUGGUCUAACUGCAUGGAACAGUUUAUAUAGGCUGACCUGGAACCAUCACGACGCCAGGAUAUCGCAGUGACUGUAUAGAAAUUAGGCAAAGAUCGUGUAUUUGCCUCUUCCCAAAUGGAACGUCGAGGACUCCAAUCCAAAAUUCGUAUUUUGUCCCAAGAUCCGAUAGCAACACUCUGUCCACUGGGACUACAGCAGGCCACAGCGAUUUCUUUUUCGUUCUCGCGACUGUAGUCGAAAUUUUUCACUAACUUUCCACGCGAAUCGUAAAAUGACACUCGUCUGUCGCAUCCUGCAGCCAGAACAUGCGAUUGUGUCCAAGCUAAUGCGUAUGCUGGUACUGUAUGAGUACAGAUACGUCCAGAAGGCUCGUGAUUUCCAUCGGCGGUUAAAUGAUACUUUAUUAUGCUACCGUCAGCGUGACUUGAUAAGAAAGCGGUUCCUCGUACACUGAAAUUAAAGAUAAGAUGAUGAUUUUAUUUAAAUUAGAUAUAUUAUAAAGAAAUUU